Molecule: ribosomal RNA, 486 nt
Filed under: uncultured soil bacterium
Lineage: Bacteria
Description: bacterial SSU rRNA
Rfam family: Bacterial small subunit ribosomal RNA
Source: RNAcentral
AGAUUGAACGCUGGCGGCAUGCCUUACACAUGCAAGUCGAACGGCAGCACGGGAGCAAUCCUGGUGGCGAGUGGCGAACGGGUGAGUAAUAUAUCGGAACGUGCCCAGUCGUGGGGGAUAACGCAGCGAAAGCUGUGCUAAUACCGCAUACGAUCUAUGGAUGAAAGCGGGGGAUCGCAAGACCUCGCGCGAUUGGAGCGGCCGAUAUCAGAUUAGCUAGUUGGUGGGGUAAAAGCCUACCAAGGCGACGAUCUGUAGCUGGUCUGAGAGGACGACCAGCCACACUGGAACUGAGACACGGUCCAGACUCCUACGGGAGGCAGCAGUGGGGAAUUUUGGACAAUGGGCGCAAGCCUGAUCCAGCAAUGCCGCGUGCAGGAUGAAGGCCGUUCGGUAGUAACGUGUCUUUUGGUACGGAACGAACGGCUCUCUACUAACUACGAGGGUCUAAGUGACCGGUACGUAAGAAUAAGCAACCGGACUAAC